CAAGUCGGAACCUGUGAACUUUUUCACAAUUUCUUCCUUCUUUAGUGAGGCACCAUUGAGGGUUAAAAAGGGUCUAAAUUCUUUCAACUCUAAUAGAGUGCUUAGUGUAGCUGUUCUCCCAGGUGGUAUAAUCAAGGGUAGAGUCCAGGCAUCCAUGUAAAAGAGGAUUUACGAGGUGGAGGUGAGUUAGAAGUGAGCAGUAAGCUAGAAAGCUAGUUGACAUCUAAAGAUGAUAUGCAAUGUUCUGGCUUAAGUAUUUCUAAGAAAAAACAAAAACGUACAGGACUGCUAUAACUUUGGACGUAAACGAAGAUGAAAAACUAAAUAUGUACCAGCCAGGUUUUGGAGGGUUAGUGAAGUUAGGCUAGUUGACAUAUAAUGAUCUGCCUCCCCCUGGCUAGCUAUAGAAGUAUCGUUGGGUUACUAUAAACACAUCACUGUCAAUGUAUUUUAGAAGUGUUAGGGUGAGGGUUAAAUUGUUUUCAAAAUAGGUGCAUGUUGAGGGUCAGUCAGUGAGGUACAGCACCUGCGAGUGCCCAAUCGGCAGAGACAAGUGCCAUCAUAUGGCAGCCUUGUUGAUUUGGAUGAAGAAAAAUCCACAACACGAGGUUAGUAAUUUAUUUGCAAUUGAUGCUGAUGUUGUUGUGUGGUUUGAAUUAUUUGCUUAACAUUAUGUGGUUUAAAGCCAUUGUAUUAUGUGAAGCUGAACCGUAUUUAUCAAACAGUGAUAACAUACACUCACAGUGUGCUGUAGUACUACCAAAAAAUCGUGAUCCUAAGCUUUAUCUCAAAAUCUUAGUUGGCCAGACAGUGAUUCAUCUUUUCUGAAGCGUUAAAAUAUUGAUGUCCAAGACACCUUGAGCCAAGAGGCUGUAGUAUACACCAUGCAUUUUUAAAAGCUUAGCUUAAAGGUGUGCUAGAAAUGAAUAGUGCUAAUAAAAGGCUGUUAAGUUGAGAUAGUAUUCUCACUUGAAAUGAUCUCAAUUACUAAUACUCAUUUUAUUACCCAUUUUAUACUGUUAUUUCAACUGGAAUGUGCACUGGCAUCCUUGUCACAACUUGGGCGUUUUACUGGGAUGGGGUGGAUUUUGAGUCCAGAAACAUCUCAGUGAUGGCGGAGGGAGACUUAAAAGCCGCUCUAGCACAUUAGUUUGGGAGAGAGUGACCUGAGAGCACGAACUCGACGCUACUGAGUGUUUUGAAAAUUAUCUUAUUGUGUUGUGAAGCUACAUGAAUUGAGUGCAUUAAAGAAAAUCCAAGACCCUGAAGGCAGAAAAUAAAAGACUUGCCUGCACUGCUUCAUUGUCUCCUGACUCCUCCAUUGCCCAAAAGAGUUAUCCCCAUUACAGUGGUGCCGAAUCACAGGAUUUUGGAGGACAACGCCGUUAUGGAGUCUUCACCACUGGGCGAAGUUAUCAAAUCCCUCGCCAGCAUCCAGCAGACUUCAUGGAGUUAGCCUGGAGCAGGAACAAUGCUUCCAACUCCUGCUCCAGACCCAAGCGGAGAACCGGCAGGUGUUCCAGAGCAUUAUCGACAGAGAGGGGGGCCACUUCCCUGUGACCCUCAUGAAGCUGGGGCCAAAUGACGAUCUGGAGGCCUACCUCAACUUGUUCAAGGUGUAGAAGUGGCCGCCCAACCAGUAGGCGGCCCGCUUGUUGCCGUUACUCUCCGGGGAGGUGUAGCUAGCAGCCCAACAACUUCCCGCUGCCAGCCUCCUCAAUUACCCUGACCUGCAGGAACAUCAGCCCAACAAGCAGAAUUAAUAGCCCUGACUGAAGCAUGCAAAAUGGCUGAAAGAAAAACUGUUAACAUUUAUACAGAUUCUAGAUAUGCCUUCGAUGUUGUACAUGACUUCCAAGCGGCAUGGCAACACAGAGGUUUCCUAACAGCAGCUGGAACGGCAAUAAAGAAUGGCCAUGAGGUUGAAGAACUUCUUAAAGCUUUGCAGCUUCCGCAGCAUGUCGUUGUUCUAAAAAUAAAGGCCCAUGAUAAGACUGACACUCUAGAGGCUGAGGGAAAUGCUUUGGCAGAUGCAGCAGCAAAAUCUACAACUACACAUCAUACAUUUCUUCUCAGUGCCAGUUACAAUUACUCAUCCCUUUCAACUUGCUGAGAUAUCUAAGAUGCAAGAAUAAAGCUCCAGAGAAGAGAAAUGGGAGUGGCUUGAAAAUGGUUGUAAACUAUCAGAUGAUAACAUAUGGAGAAAACAGUCUGGUAGUGCCAAAAGUUUUACUACCUUACCUCGCUACACAGAUACAUACCACUGGACACAUAGGUACAAGCCAGAUGCAUUCUCGAUUUAAUUGUAUCUGGUGGGUUAAAGGAUUUAAGAAACAUGCAGAUACAGUGGUGAGGAAUUGCGUAAUUUGUCAAAAACACAAUUCUGCUCCUUCUGUGAUGCUUUGCACGCCUGCACCUCCAGGUCCAUUUCAAGAGCUACAAUGUGAUAACAUUACUUUACUAGAUCCAAAAAACAACCAGGAUGUACAAAAUGCAACAUUUUCUAGAUGUUCCCCACAAAGAAAAGCACUGCUGCCUUUACUGCUAAGGUUUUAGUGAGAGAUAUAAUUCCACGAUGGGGAAUACCACACAGUACUGACUAUUGAAUAUUACAGUAUUGAGGUCUGUCAAGAAGUAUGCAGGUUAUUAGGCAUGCAAUGACAUUUUCACUGUCCAGGGCAUCCGCAAUCUUCAGGCAUGGUUGAACGUGCUAAUUCUACUUUGAAAACUCGCCUGGCGAAAUAUCAUUCCUCUGGCACCCCCUGGGUGGAUGCUUUGCCUUUUGUCUUAUGAAGUAUGUGAGCCUCUGCUAACAAAGUAACUGGAUUUAGUCCUUUUGAAGUAAUCACCAGAAGAACAAUGGCUUUACCAGGAACCCCUGAUUUAUCUACUGCAGAUGUACACUUAAUGUCAGACACGCUGCUUACAUACUGCUUGUCACUUACAAAAGCAGUGGCAACAGCACAGUGUCAAGUUUUAAAUGCAUGGGGACCUCCUCCAGAGGGGGGACACAGCAUUGUGCCAGGGCAAUUAGUGUAUGUUAAGAAAUUACAACAUGCAGGUUUAGAGCCUCGAUAGGAAGGUCCAUUCACGGUCGUUUUAGUCACUACAUCGGCAGUUAAAUUAAUGGGUAAGCCUAAAUGGAUUGUCAUUGUUAGUCAUUGUAAAAUUGCAGCAAGGACUGAGAAUGAACAGGGUGAAUCGCUGUAGAUUGGAGUCAUGAGAAGAACUAUACCUUUUAGUGGUAUGGGGCUCACCCUCAUGAUCGCUGGGGGAAGGGGCGGCAACGUCCUCCAUUGACCACUCGCCAGAUGCAGCGAGAGACAUAACAUCAUCAUCCCCAGCGUCAGAACCGCCGAACUUGUGCGCUCUUGCAGAGGGCCGAAGCUCAUCAUGCACAUACUGUAUCGAUAUAUGGAGAUUGAGGGGCUCGCAUGGCUUGUGCCAGCACGAGGUCCACCACAAAUUCAUCCUGCUCGACCUCGCGUGAUCCCUUAGGAACCACAGAAGAGUCGGGUGGGAGGGCACGGGAGGCUGAAUCGUCCCUCAGAAUGAAGGCGAUUCGCAAGCAAAGUGUCUUAAGACUCAUGCUCUCACUGUGAGGGCAGUCUGUCUCCAUGAGAGCUGUCUAUGUGUGGGCGCGGCCCAGACAGUGAAUGCAGCUCUCAUGCUGAUCUGAUGGCGGGAUCACAUAAGGAACACUUACGGAACAACAUCUUUAAAAAGACGCUUAAGUGGCUUUUUUAGUUAUAGAUAGAUAGAUAGAUAGAUAGAUAGAUAUGUGAAGUGUAUUGUCAUACCGGACAGCUUCACACCUAAAAGGGUGGGGCUUAAACACCAUAGCCAAUCCUGCGUUAUUGUAGAAAGCUUUCAACUAGGUCGUGUAGAAGUACACGCCCCAUAGCGUCACCUUAGUGAUGCAAUGUCAAGUGUACUGAAUUGUAAGGGAACCCUGGUACUAUAAGAUGUGGUGAACAUCAGUUAAGAUGGCAUUCCAGGGACCAGUUUAUGGCAGGGCCCCUCUGUAAGUGACGGUGUGGAAGAUGUACCUCACUGUGAUUGGAUCCUUGGUGAAUGAACAAACAAAUGUUCAGCAACAUCAGAUACGAUGUUCAGACAACUGCCAGACACCUCUUACAGGGCAGGAAGGGGGACCUUCUGCACCCACCAAACUCAUUCCUAAGGUUAGGCAAGAACUGCCAUAAAUUCCUUCAGGACCUCCCGGGUGCAGCAGCAGUGGAGGGCCACAGAGAUCUAUUCAUACCUAGGUUUGGAGGCCUUAAAUUAAAAUAAACUGCAAAACAUCCACUCAAAGCACAGUUUAUGUUAAUGGUUAUUGACUGUUAACACAACAGUUCAUGGGACAGACCUAUUAACAGAUAAACGAAUGCAUGGAGGAUGACUUAAAUGUUUCUUAUCUUGUUUGGUCUCUAUCUGUUCCAUACAAUGCCUUUAAUAAUUUGAAAGAUGUUUGGUAAAGAAAUAAUGCAUGGGUAAAACGUUAAAGACACUGUUUUAACACUGUACUUUAUGCUAUGCAAAUGAGUUCCACACUAGGGUGGGCAACACCGUGGCAACUUUAGACACCAGUGGCCAGUCACACUCCAGGAUCGGAAAGGCACCAGAUUUCAAUCUGCUCCUCAUCAGAAAGGGAUAAAUAUGUCCCCCGGGUAGACACACCCACGUCCUGCAUUUCCAACUCAAUGGGGAAGGAGACAUUAGCAGACACACCACGUCCUGAGUUUCUGACCUGACGAGGAAAGAGGCUACCAGAUAGUUGAUGUUAAGCUUUUGCGAGCAAAACCUUUUAUAUUGCUUUAUUAUUAUAUUGCUGCACUCUAGCUGAAAAAGGGCCCCAGCAUUGAGGGACCUUAUCUGACCCUUACGGCCCCUCCAGCAGCGCAGCUCAGUCCACAAAGGACCUCUGCAGCGGCAGACAUUGCCUGUCCCACACGGCUCCUCAGUGACGCAGCCAACCUGCAAAGGACCCUGUGAAGAUUAAACUGACCCAGCUGCCCAGUCCACUAUUUAAGGACCCUCUUGGCACAACUGAAGUUCAGCAUCCUCCCGCCCAGCGUGGCAACGACUACUGGAUCGCAACUCUGCGCCCUUCCCACUGCACGCUACCCGCAUCACCAGUGGAAGACGUCUCUACUGCCGGACUGAUCACCCGACUGUGUGGAAUGUAAAUAUAAACUUAUCAAACCUCUUUCUAGAGACCUUGGCACUAGUUUAUACCUGCAGCAUAUGUUUUUCUAACUUGCUUAGAUAACAGUUACCUGGGGUCAGCUUGUUACAAAUAAUAGGUAUAUUAUUUGUUUAAUGAUAAAUAAGCAGUAUUUAUCACCAUUUUGCCAGAGCCAUUAGGUGGUUUCCCAUAAGGAGCAUUCCCAUACAGUUCUCUCCCAUUGCUACAUUGUUCAACAGCAUUGCAUUUAUCCACACUGUUCUCAAAUAAUUUAUGUUUCAUUGUUUAAUUCAGUACUUUCCUUUUUGGUUAUUAGUUUAUUAUCCUUUAGCAGUGCAUAUUCAUUAUUAGCAUUAUUCAUUUGUGAGAUUUACUCUUGCAUAUCUAUUGUUAACAAAUUUCAUUAAUUUUAUCAGUCUUUAUUGUGUUGACGAUCAAAGACUCCACUAGUUGUCCAGACUCUCACAAAUCCUUCAGAUAAAUCAGCUGACCAACUCCCUCUAGUUUACAUUAAUUCUAAAUGAUUGAACAGCUAUUUUGGGAGUGUUCUUAAAUUAAGAUAGUAUUCUUAACUGGUGCCCCGUAUUGCAAAGGGGGAGGGGUCAUCUGAUACACUCAUAACCACUCCUUAAGUGACACUUGAUCAAAAAUCACUAUGUCAUCGGUGAAUUGAGUAGAAAUCACUUAGAUCUCUGGUAAAGCAUAACAUGUCUACUUUAUGGGAAGAUAAAGGGGAAAUUAAUGGAACUUAAAAAUGUCACUACAUUUAUGUGAACAGAAAUAAAAUCAUCAACAUAAAUUUACAAAUAUAUUUGUUAGAUAUCAAAGACCAAAUAGUGGCUAAUUCAUCCACUGAAUGUCUUCCCUGUUAUUUUCCACCCUGACCCUGCCCAUUUAACAGCAUGGACAUCUGAAUUUUCAAGUCAUUUAGCUUGACCAGCAUGACUUAUAAAAUCUUUAAAGUUGAAGAAUGCAACUCCUGCGACACUAGCGCCAAAACAGCUUACUGAAUACGCCCCCCGUCUACUGUUGAGCAAACAAAGAGAGUCCCCUAAGCAGGUUGCUCGAAACAGAGACAUUUUCAAAGUGCCACAGAAAGAGAGUGCUUACACUUUUCGAUAAAAUUAACCUAUGAAUGGCUUACUAAUAGUGGUCUCUCAUAUUAAGCUUGGAUAGCAGAAAGUAUUUUAACACAGAAAAAGUUACAAACAUCAGUUUUAACAUGUCCCUCUAAUAAGAAACAUAAAAAUACUUAUAAAAGCAUGUUUCAUUUUACAAAAGUUUCAAAGCCGAAAUGUGUACAUAACCCAGUAGGGCGCUUUUGGAUUUUAUAUAACUCCUAUUCAGUCCUGAGUGACCUAUUUGAAUUAUUGUCAUUAUUUAAUUCUCCCAUCUUCACUCCACGUGCACUUCCUCCACCUACUGGAGAGUCAAUAGUAUUAACGUAAAUGCUUUAGUUUUGUUUUUUUCUAUGAAAAUAACACUGCAUGACUGGACAAAAUAAAAUAUAUGAUGACUGACAUGAUAUAAACGAUCAACAUUACUUUAUUGAAGCAAAUUAUACACACAGAGUCUGCUACACAAACAUAACUUUCAUAAGAUAUAUACAGUUGAAGUCAGAAGUUUACAUACACCUUAGCCAAAUACAUUUAAACUCAGUUUUUCACAAUUCCUGACAUUUAAUUUAGAACAAAAUUUCCUGUCUUAGGUCAGUUAGGAUCACUAUUUUAUUUUAAGAAAGUGAAAUGUCAGAAUAACAGUAGAGAGAAUGACUUAUUUCAGCUUUUAUGUCUUUCAUCACAUUCCCAGUGGGUCAGAAGUUUACAUACACUUUGUUAGUAUUUGGUAGCAUUGCCUUUAAACUGAUUAACUUGGGUCAAACAGUUUGGGUAACCUUCCACAUACUUCUCUCAAUAAGUUGCUGGAAUUUUAGCCCAUUCCUCCAGACAGAACUGGUGUAACCGAGUCAGGUUUGUAGGCCUCCUUGCUCACACACACUUUUUCAGUUCUGCCCACAAAUUUUCUAUCGGACUGAGGUCAGGGCUUUGUGAUGGCCACUCCAAUACCUUGACUUUGUUGUCCUUAAGCCAUUUUGCAACAACUAUGGAGGUAUGCUUGGGGUCAUUGUCCAUAUGGAAGACCCCUUUGUGAUGAGCUUUAACUUCCUGACUGAUGUCUUGAUGUUGCUAUAAUAUCUCCACAUCAUUUUCCUUCUUCAUGAUGCCAUCUAUUUUGUGAAGUGCACCAGUCCCUCCUGCAGCAAAGCACCCCCACAACAUGAUCCUGCCAACCCCAUGCUUCACGGUUGGGAUGGUGUUCUUCGGAUUGCAAGCCUAACCCUUUUUCUUCCAAACAUAACGAUGAUGGUCAUUAUGGCCAAAGAGUUCAAUUUUUGUUUCAUCAGAUAAGAGGACAUUUCUCCAAAAAGUACAAUCUAAGAGUUCAAUUUUUGUUUCAUCAGAUAAGAGGACAUUUCUCCAAAAA
Myxocyprinus asiaticus (Chinese sucker) is the source of this 7672-nucleotide long non-coding RNA. RefSeq lists it as uncharacterized. The transcript has 2 exons. The record is from RefSeq and is a predicted model, not a curated record. NCBI's taxonomy places the organism in Eukaryota, Metazoa, Chordata, Actinopteri, Cypriniformes, Catostomidae.